RNAcentral lists this ribosomal RNA (468 nucleotides) under uncultured bacterium. RNAcentral's name for it is "partial 16S ribosomal RNA". It matches the Rfam family "Bacterial small subunit ribosomal RNA", at positions 28 to 507 of the family's 1533-position model. The record is from RNAcentral.
GACGAACGCUGGCGGCGUGCUUAAUACAUGCAAGUCGAACGGAAAGGCCCUGCUUUUGUGGGGUGCUCGUGUGGCGCACGGGUGAGUAACACGUGAGUAACCUGCACUUGUCUUUGGGAUAACUUCAGGAAACUGGGGCUCAUACCGGAUAGGAGCUCCUGCUGCAUGGUGGGGGUUGGAAAGUUCCGGCGGUUGGGGCUGGACUCGCGGCUUAUGCGCUUGUUGGUGAGGUAGUUGCUUACAAAGGCUAUGACGGGUAGGCGGCCUGAGAGGGUGACCGGCCACAAGGCGCCUGAGAGAGGGACCAGAAGCGUACGUGAGGCAGCGGUCGGGAAUAUUACACAGUAAGCGGAAGCCUGAUGCAGCAGCGCCGCGUGCGGGAUGACGUCCUUCGGGGUGUAAACAGCUGUCGCAGGAGACGAGGCGGGAUUGACGGUAAUGGGUAAAGAAGCACCGGCUAACUACGUG